AAUAUUAUAUUUUCAGGGAAUAUUUCUAUAGUUUUGUUCUUGGAAAUUGUGUUUCUAAGGUGAUUGGUCUCGCUAUCCACGAUGACGAGAUUUGAUACUCUUUCUGAGCGCGAAGCGGGCAGAGGUUGAAGAGUUAAUUCUUCUGAUCACUGCUUUUGAUGACCGUUCCAUGUCUUCUCUGGGGAUAUGGAGGAAGUAUGAUCAGAGGGGU
Molecule: small nucleolar RNA, 211 nt
Organism: Salmo trutta (river trout)
Lineage: Eukaryota; Metazoa; Chordata; Actinopteri; Salmoniformes; Salmonidae
Gene: U3
Rfam family: Small nucleolar RNA U3
About the family: Small nucleolar RNAs (snoRNAs) are involved in the processing and modification of rRNA in the nucleolus. There are two main classes of snoRNAs: the box C/D class, and the box H/ACA class.
Source: Ensembl